RNAcentral lists this ribosomal RNA (478 nucleotides) under uncultured bacterium. RNAcentral describes it as "bacterial SSU rRNA". It matches the Rfam family "Bacterial small subunit ribosomal RNA", at positions 28 to 524 of the family's 1533-position model. The record is from RNAcentral.
GACGAACGCUGGCGGCGUGCCUAACACAUGCAAGUCGAACGAGGUCCAUCCUUCGGGAGAAGACCUAGUGGCGAACGGGUGAGUAACACGUGAGGAACCUGCCCCGAAGACCGGGAUAACCCUCCGAAAGGAGAGCUAAUACCGGAUACCCCCACCGAGCCGCAUGGUUUGGUGAGGAAAUGGAUUCCGCUUCGGGAGGGCCUCGCGGCCUAUCAGCUAGUUGGUGGGGUAACGGCCCACCAAGGCAUCGACGGGUAGCUGGUCUGAGAGGACGAUCAGCCACACUGGGACUGAGACACGGCCCAGACUCCUACGGGAGGCAGCAGUGGGGAAUCUUGCGCAAUGGGCGAAAGCCUGACGCAGCAACGCCGCGUGGGGGAUGAAGGCUCUCGGGUUGUAAACCCUUUCAGCAGGGACGAAUCAAGACGGUACCUGCAGAAGAAGCCCCGGCUAACUACGUGCCAGCAGCCGCGGUAAU